This 2532-nucleotide long non-coding RNA is filed under the name Sus scrofa (pig). RNAcentral's name for it is "lncRNA (ENSSSCG00030005204.1)". The record is from RNAcentral. Lineage: Eukaryota; Metazoa; Chordata; Mammalia; Artiodactyla; Suidae.
GAACACAUCCUGGCCAAUACGCUGACUGAAACCACAUGAGAGAUCCUACCUAGAACCACCUAGGCAAGCCACACUGGAAUUCCUGACUUAGAAAAAAAGUCUGAACCUAUGAUAUGGAGAUUUCCAGGCUAGGGCUCUAAUCAGAGCCACAGCUGCCAGCCUACACCACAACCACAACCAUGCCAGAUCCAAGCCACAUCUGUGACCUACACCACAGCUCAUGGCAACACCAGGAAUCGAACCCACAACCUCAUGGUUCCUAGUCAGAUUCGUUUCUGCUGUGCCACAACAGUAACUCCAGUGUAUUACUUAUUUACAUUUUGCUGUAUAAAAACUCUUGCCUUUCCCUUUGAGACUCUUCCAGGCAGUAUCAACUUUAUAAUACAUACAGCUCACCUAAUACAUUACUCUUGCCAUUUAUUUAUUCAAUUUUAGAUCUUCACAGAUCUAUCUCUUUAUAUAUCUUGGCAUUUUAAUCUUAAAUUUGAGGCUUAAUUUGUCCAUCAUUAUCUUGAAAACUCUUGUCACUUCAGACUAUUUUAUUUCAUUUUAAAUAAAUCAAGAACAAAAUGAAUAUAAAAAAAUUGCACACCACAACAAAGUGGGACUUAUCCCAGGUAUGCAAGACCAGGUCAACAUUCAAAAUUUAAAUAAUGUAAAAAGAGUAACAAAGAAAAAAUACACAAUCAUAUCAGUAGAGGCAGAAAAAUCUUUAUACAAAAUAUAACAUUCACUCAUGAUAAAUACCAUCCCUGAUUAGAAACUCACAGGUAACUAGAAAUAGUAGGAAACUUCCUCAACUUGAUUAAAAACAAACAAAAACACUGCAAGAAACUUACAGCUAACAUUGUACUUGCUAGUGAAAAACUAGAAGUUUUCACAGAAGAUAAGGAACAAGUAAGGAUAGCCCUCUUGUCACUCCUUUGUCAACAUUGUACAAGAAAUCCUAGCUAAUACAAUAGGAAAAGGAAAUAAGGGAUAGACAGAUUGGGAAGGAAGAAUUAAAACUGCCCUUGAUCACAGGUGACAAGAUCUUCCGCACAGAAAAUCCUAAGCAAAUGACAAAAUGUCUUGGAACUAAAAAGUGAUUAUAGCAAGUUAGCAAGGUCAAAGAUUAAAAACACAAUCACUUUCCCAUAUACCAGCAAUGAGGAAGUAGAAUUUCAAUGGAAUACUACUCAGCCAUAAAAAAAAAAACAAAAUAAUGCCAUUUGCAGCAACAUGGAUGGAACUAGAGAUUCUCAUACUGAGUGAAAUAAGUCAGAAAGAGAAAGACAAAUACCCUAUGAUAUCACUUACAUCUGGAAUCUAAUAUACGGCACAAAUGAACCUUUCCACUGAAAAGAAAAUCAUGGACUUGGAGAAUAGACUUGAGCUUGCCAAUGGGGAGGAGGAGGGAGUGGGAUGGAUUGGGAUCUUGGGGUUAAUAGAUGCAAACUAUUGCCUUUGGAAUGAAUAAGCAAUGAGAUCCUGCUAUAUAGCACUGGGAACUACGUCUAGUCACUUCUGAUGGAAUAUGAUAAUGUGUGAAAAAAGAAUAUAUAUAUGUAUGUAUGACUGGGUCACCUUGCUGUACAGUAGAAAAUUGACAGAACAUUGUAAACCAGCUAUAAUAGAAAAAAAUAAAAAUCAUUAAAUAAAUAAAUAUUAAGAAAAUUUAAAAAAAAUGAUUAUAGCAAGUUAGCAAGGUAAAGAUUAAAUAUACAAUCACUUUCCCAUAUACCAGCAAUGAACAAGUAGAAUUUGAAAUUUAAAAACAUAAUACCAUUUUGGUUAGCACCCAAAAAGUGAAAUACUUAGGUACAAACAAAAUAUAUACAAGAUAUUUAUGAGGAAAAUGACAAAAUCUUGAUGAAUGAAGAUAAGAACUAAAUAAGUGGAGAUAUUUUAUGUCCAUGGAUUAGCAAGUCUCAAUAUUGCCAAUAUAUAAGUUCUUCCCAAUUUGAUCUAUAUAGUCAAUGUAAUCCUAAAAAUGGGAUUUUUUUCCUUAAUUUCCCUUUGUGAUCUUUCAUUGUUAGUGUAUAGAAAUGCAAGAGAUUUCUGGGUAUGAAUUUUGUAUCAUGCAACUUUACCAAAUUCAUUAAUGAGCUCUAAUAGUUUCCUAGUAGCAUCUUUAAGAUUUUCUAUGUAUAGUGUCAUGUCAUCUGCAAACAGUGACAGUUUUAUUCCUUCUUUUCUAAUUGAGAUUCCUUUUCUUUUUCUCCUCUGAUUGCUGUGGCUAGGUCUUUCAGAACUAUGUUGAAAAGCAGUUGUGAGAAUGGACAUCCUUGUCUUGUUCCUAAUCUUAGAAGAUAUGCUUUCAUAAUUGAGUAUGAUGUUAGUCUCAGGUUUGUUGUACAUAACAUUUGUUACGUUGAGGUAAGUUGCCUCUAUGCUCAUUUCUUGAGGAUUUUUAUUAUACAUGGAUGUUGAAUUUUAUCAAAAUCUCUUUCUGUAUCUACUGAGAUGAUCAAAUAUUUGUUAUUCUUCAGUUUGUUAAUGUGCUGUAUCACAUUGAUUUGCAGAUAUUAAAAAAUCUCUGUGUUCCUGGGA